AUUGUCCUUAUAGGCGUUGCAGAUGUGGCUGCUAUGUCACAUGUGUAUCUGUAGGUGGCAGAGAAGAGAGAGGCUAUGUCUUCAUUCAGUGUUCUGACCUAUGAACAUCUGAAGUAGCCUAACAUU
Grammomys surdaster is the source of this 126-nucleotide small nucleolar RNA. RefSeq annotates it as small nucleolar RNA SNORA17. NCBI's taxonomy places the organism in Eukaryota, Metazoa, Chordata, Mammalia, Rodentia, Muridae. The record is from RefSeq and is a predicted model, not a curated record. The transcript has a single exon.